This 600-nucleotide long non-coding RNA is filed under the name Macaca mulatta (Rhesus monkey). Its description in RNAcentral is "lncRNA (ENSMMUG00000052187.1)". The record is from RNAcentral. Lineage: Eukaryota; Metazoa; Chordata; Mammalia; Primates; Cercopithecidae.
AUGCUGCGGGUUGAAGCUGUCUCUCGGCCCCUCCAUCUUCUUCAGUGCCCACUCCAGAGCACCUGCCACCUUGCCUCCCUUCUUGCCUGGGUCAAUACCCUCCUCCCAGACAGCCUGGCCAGCGAGUGGGCGCUGGGUAUCACCACUGGUCUUUCCAGCUCUCUGUGUGAUGGACAAGUGGGCUGCACACCUCCUGUCCCUGCUCCCACCCUGUCCCCACCCUCCUCACCCUCACUUUCAGUGCAACGGAGAGUCCCUGGUUCUCUGGGUCCCCUGGAGCCUGAAGUCACGAUGCCAAGAGUUCGUGAGGGAGGGAACUGGUUAAGGCCUGGGAGGAGCCUGGAUUCCUGUGGUGUCUCAGCCAUGAAUCUAGGAGUGAGAAAAGAAAGCUUCCCUCCCCUACAAGGUCAAGGUUCAAGUAUGGGUCCUGGCAGGACCCAUUUGGACCUGCUGGAAAACUCUCACGCUAAAAACAGGUCCUUGGUGGUGCACGCCUGGAUGCUGACCAGCCUCCUCUCUGCCUCCAGCCGUCCACACUCCUGGGUCCCUCCUGCUCUGCUAAAAGAUUUAGGACAGAUAAAAAGAAUGCAUAACAUAUAA